This 2155-nucleotide small RNA is filed under the name Olea europaea subsp. europaea. Lineage: Eukaryota; Viridiplantae; Streptophyta; Magnoliopsida; Lamiales; Oleaceae. The record is from RNAcentral.
UUCAAUUACUCUUUUCCUAAGCCCGACAUUGUGACGGAUGGUGAGUGCAAUCUAAGCUUUAGCACAUAAUUUCCAUAAAUAAAUAAGUAACUUUUAUCCUGUUGGUUACCCUUGAUACGAUAGGAUAUUAAUGUUUUCUAUUUGUUUAUCGAUUUAGUGGUUGGAUAUAAUACAUAAAUAGAAAGAGAAUACAACAACUACAAUUUUAAAGUGAUCUUAAAUCAUCAUAUAAGAUUCUUCACCAAACCUUCUGCAAUUAAGAACUCGAAAAGAUUCGAAAGGUUUCAUAGUUGUUGAUAUUGCCAUGAUUUUAUUUAGUUGAGUUAGGACACUAAUCAAAAGGCCAAUAAUGAUUAAUUAGUUUAUUGCAUGAGGAGAAUAAUUUGGGCACUAAUCAAACCACAUAAUAACGAUUUAAUUAAUUAUUACACAAUUAGGAUAAUAAGUUUGAAGUUAAGAGUGGUGUUACCAUGUUUGCAUGAUUGUGGUUGGGUUUAUAGGAAAUCAAUCAAAUGAAUAAUUAAUUAUAUGGUAAUAUGAAUGAAAUUCAAAAGUUAAAUUGCAUUUUAAAUUAUUUAGGCCCGUGUUUAAUAGCCAUUCUUUUGAUUUGGAUUUUUUAUUUUAUUUUAUUUUAUUUUUUUAUUUUUUUUUGGGGAAGAAUGAGUUUUGGAAUAGUAAUUUCUCGAAAAACAUGUGGUUAAAAAGUAGGAAUAAAUUUAAGUUUAAGUGACAAAAAUAUUUUAUUGUGAAAAUGUGUGGUUGAAAAUGAGUACGAGAUUUUUAUUUUUUAUUUUUGAAAGAAUGGUUACCAAACGGGGACUUGAUCACUUAUAUGAUUUAUCAUAGUGAUAGAUCGACACAUCAAGCAAUGAUUACAUAAUAUUCACUAUGAUAUGAUUGUUAAUUAAAUAAUUUUCAUAAAUUUGGAUAUGACAGAUGAGGGAGUGGUGAAAUUUAUCCUAUUUUUUUACUUUUAUUUUUUUGUGAUUAGUUAUUUUUCGGCAAAAUUGGUCUUCUAAGAAAGAUCAGACUUUUCACGUCAGGAUGGUAGAUAGUGGCGGACCUGAAAAUCUAGGCGAGCACGGGUGGUCGCUAGAAAAUCGCCCGAUAUAAGAAAAUGAAAAAAAAAUUCCUACAGAACCAGCACAGCGCGACCACAAAGACUCCUCGAAUUCUAAGCCCAUGAUGGUAAGUAUCAUUUACAAGAUUAUUGGGCAUGGUUCAAUGAUAAUGGUGGAAUAAAUAUCAAUCCUAGCCCUUGUUUGAGCCCCAUUUUUUUUUUAAAAUACAUUUUUUAACAGUAAUUUGACAUCAUUUCAACCACACAUUUUUCAAUAAAAUAAUAUUAUACGCAAACUCAAAACUGUUUUUUAUUUUUUAACCACACAUUCUUCAUCACAACACUAUUCCAAAAUGCAUUUUUAAAGAAAAAUGGGGCUCAAACAACCCCAUUAAUGUCUUAAUAAUUCACAAGAAGAGUGAAUAUAUUACAAGAAGACAAAUUGGGGUAUAUGAGAUAUCAAGAAAAUGCAUGAACAAAUCGAAUUGUUCAUAGAUGAUUGAUAAUGAAUAGGAUUUUGUAACUUGGCAUUUUGUGAAUUGUAGGAUACAAUUAUUUAUUUAUUAUUAUUUUUUUAAUUAUUUUUUUUUUGGGAAUGUGGGGUUAGAAAAUAGAGAAAAAUUAUGAAUCUCAUAUAAACGUGGUGAAAAAUAGUUUUAGCGAAAAAAUGAUUUUGAAAAAUUCUCUCCCAAACAAAGCUUUAGUAUAGUACUUCAGUUUAAGACAUAGUACUUAAGAAAAAAUGACAAAACAUAAAAAUAUUGACAAUUUUAUUUACAUGUAGUUUAAUUUAACAUAUCGAAGAUGGUAUUAUAGUUUGAUAAUCAAAGUAUGUUUCGAAAGUAUUGUUUUUGAAAAUUGCAUUGGGUUGAAGAUCUAUAGAUUCUUUUUAGGUGUUUGGUAGAUGAUUCAAUCAAGUUUUCUUGAUAUCGAAAAUUUGUGUAAAAUAUUUUGCAACAAUAUAUGUUUCAAUACAAAUAUAAUUGUAUAUGUGUAUAGAUAACCACGCAAUCAUUAUUUAUAUAUUAAUAACUAUUUUUGGGGGGGAAUAUUACUAUUUUUAGUGCCUGUUUGACUUGAUUGUAAACAAGUUAA